RNAcentral lists this ribosomal RNA (888 nucleotides) under uncultured bacterium. RNAcentral's name for it is "bacterial SSU rRNA". It matches the Rfam family "Bacterial small subunit ribosomal RNA", at positions 8 to 853 of the family's 1533-position model. The record is from RNAcentral.
AGAGUUUGAUCCUGGCUCAGGACGAACGCUGGCGGCGUGCCUAAUACAUGCAAGUCGAGCGAGCUUGCCUAGAUGAUUUUAGUGCUUGCACUAAAUGAUUACUAGAUAGCAAGCGAGCGGCGGACGGGUGAGUAACACGUGGGUAACCUACCCAAGAGACUGGGAUAACACCUGGAAACAGAUGCUAAUACCGGAUAACAACACUAGACGCAUGUCUAGAGUUUGAAAGAUGGUUCUGCUAUCACUCUUGGAUGGACCUGCGGUGCAUUAGCUAGUUGGUAAGGUAACGGCUUACCAAGGCAAUGAUGCAUAGCCGAGUUGAGAGACUGAUCGGCCACAUUGGGACUGAGACACGGCCCAAACUCCUACGGGAGGCAGCAGUAGGGAAUCUUCCACAAUGGACGAAAGUCUGAUGGAGCAACGCCGCGUGAGUGAAGAAGGGUUUCGGCUCGUAAAGCUCUGUUGGUAGUGAAGAAAGAUAGAGGUAGUAACUGGCCUUUAUUUGACGGUAAUUACUUAGAAAGUCACGGCUAACUACGUGCCAGCAGCCGCGGUAAUACGUAGGUGGCAAGCGUUGUCCGGAUUUAUUGGGCGUAAAGCGAGUGCAGGCGGUUCAAUAAGUCUGAUGUGAAAGCCUUCGGCUCAACCGGAGAAUUGCAUCAGAAACUGUUGAACUUGAGUGCAGAAGAGGAGAGUGGAACUCCAUGUGUAGCGGUGGAAUGCGUAGAUAUAUGGAAGAACACCAGUGGCGAAGGCGGCUCUCUGGUCUGCAACUGACGCUGAGGCUCGAAAGCAUGGGUAGCGAACAGGAUUAGAUACCCUGGUAGUCCAUGCCGUAAACGAUGAGUGCUAAGUGUUGGGAGGUUUCCGCCUCUCAGUGCUGCAGCU